This 24-nucleotide microRNA is filed under the name Lotus japonicus. RNAcentral describes it as "lja-miR11174-3p". Lineage: Eukaryota; Viridiplantae; Streptophyta; Magnoliopsida; Fabales; Fabaceae. The record is from miRBase by way of RNAcentral.
UGUUUCUGUUAGAGUACAGCUGGC